This 329-nucleotide unclassified non-coding RNA is filed under the name soil metagenome. Its description in RNAcentral is "partial contains 5.8S ribosomal RNA, internal transcribed spacer 2, and large subunit ribosomal RNA". The stretch from base 1 to 120 matches the Rfam family "5.8S ribosomal RNA", at positions 35 to 154 of the family's 154-position model. The record is from RNAcentral.
GAUGAAGAACGCAGCGAAAUGCGAUAAGUAAAGUGAAUUGCAGAAUUCAGUGAAUCAUCGAAUCUUUGAACGCACAUUGCGCCCCCUGGUAUUCCGGGGGGCAUGCCUGUCCGAGCGUCAUUACAACCCUCAAGCUCAGCUUGGUGUUGGGCCCCGCCGCCCCGGCGGGCCCUAAAGUCAGUGGCGGUGCCGUCCGGCUCCGAGCGUAGUAAUUCUUCUCGCUCUGGAGGUCCGGUCGUGUGCUUGCCAGCAACCCCCAAUUUUUUUCAGGUUGACCUCGGAUCAGGUAGGGAUACCCGCUGAACUUAAGCAUAUCAAUAAGCGGAGGA